GCCCGGAUGGUGGAAUUGGUAGACACAAGGGACUUAAAAUCCCUCGGCCGCAAGGCUGUGCCGGUUCAAGCCCGGCUCCGGGUACCA
RNAcentral lists this transfer RNA (87 nucleotides) under Desulfovibrionaceae bacterium. RNAcentral describes it as "tRNA-Leu". It matches the Rfam family "tRNA". From Rfam's summary of the family: Transfer RNA (tRNA) molecules are approximately 80 nucleotides in length. Their secondary structure includes four short double-helical elements and three loops (D, anti-codon, and T loops). Lineage: Bacteria; Pseudomonadati; Thermodesulfobacteriota; Desulfovibrionia; Desulfovibrionales; Desulfovibrionaceae. The record is from RNAcentral.